This 435-nucleotide ribosomal RNA is filed under the name uncultured bacterium. RNAcentral describes it as "partial 16S ribosomal RNA". It matches the Rfam family "Bacterial small subunit ribosomal RNA", at positions 29 to 507 of the family's 1533-position model. The record is from RNAcentral.
AGCGAACGCUGGCGGCAGGCUUAACACAUGCAAGUCGAGCGGGCACUUUCGGGUGUCAGCGGCGGACGGGUGCGUAACGCGUGGGAACGUGCCCUCUGGUUCGGAAUAACUCAGGGAAACUUGAGCUAAUACCGGAUACGCCCUUUUGGGGAAAGGCUUGCUGCCGGAGGAUCGGCCCGCGUCUGAUUAGCUAGUUGGUGAGGUAACGGCUCACCAAGGCGACGAUCAGUAGCUGGUCUGAGAGGAUGAUCAGCCACACUGGGACUGAGACACGGCCCAGACUCCUACGGGAGGCAGCAGUGGGGAAUAUUGGACAAUGGGCGCAAGCCUGAUCCAGCCAUGCCGCGUGAGUGAUGAAGGCCUUAGGGUUGUAAAGCUCUUUUAUCCGGGACGAUAAUGACGGAACCGGAGGAAUAAGCCCCGGCUAACUUCGUG